AGAUGGAUGGACCAACGUAAGCCAAGUCGGCAUAGAGUACCAAUUGUUAGGCAGCCGUCCAUGGAGGAACGAGAAAGCAAUAUUUCCAAGAAUUUUAACAAAAAGAAAACAACAGCAUAAAACAAACACCUCUGCUUGAGUUAUUCUUCUUAUUCUUUCUUCUUUUUUCCCAAUUUGAAAGAAUAUUCCGUUAUCAAACGCAACCAGCCAUCGAAAAACAUCGGCUUGCUUAAAUUCAGUUAUUUUCUCAUCAACAGUUACACCACUAUAGACGAAGAACUCAUUUCUCUUCUCACUUUCGCCAUCAUUUCGACAAAAAUGGAAAACCAGCCGACGAUCAUGGUGACCAACGAUGACGGUAUCGACGCGCCAGGACUGCGAGCGCUGGUUCAGGUCUUGGUCUCUACCCGGCGAUUCCAGGUCCUUGUUUGCGCUCCGGACUCGGAGAAAUCAGCUACGAGCCAUAGCAUUACAUGGCGUGAUCCAAUUGCUGCUCGACGAGUGGAAAUUGAAGGAGCUACUGCCUAUGCAAUUGCUGGAACUCCAGCUGAUUGUACUUCUUUAGGAAUCUCCAAAUCACUCUUUCCUUUAAUUCCUGACCUGGUAAUUAGCGGCAUAAACAUGGGGAGCAACUGUGGUUAUCACAUUGUUUACUCAGGAACAGUCGCUGGUGCUCGAGAGGCCUUCUUUAAUGAUAUACCUGCAAUCUCUGUAUCAUAUAAUUGGUUUGGAGGUCAGAGCAAAGUUGAGAACUUCACUCUUUCUGCUGAGGCUUGCAUACCAAUAAUAACUGCAGUACUCGUUGAGAUCAAGAAUAAAACUUAUCCUUUAAGGUGUUUUUUGAAUAUUGAUCUUCCAACAGAUGUUGCUAAUAAUAAGGGGUAUAAGCUGACCAAGCAGGGUAAAAGCAUAUAUAAAAUGGGGUGGAGCCAAGUUACUUCUGACAUGCAAGGAGGGAAAAUGUUAUCAACAAUGACAAUGGAUACGGAUUCUACUGCACCAAUAGAGACUGGUGCAUUAAAUUUAUCACAAGAUCAUCUUUUGUUCAAGAGAGAAGUAUUAGGAGGGAAACUUGAUGAAGGUGACAUCGAUGAUGCGGACUUCAAAAUUCUUCAGCAAGGAUAUAUUACUGUAACUCCCCUUGGUGCCCUCUCCCAUGCAGAGAUAGGCUGCCACUCAUACUUUAAAGAUUGGCUGCCAAGUGUUGGACAAUACCCGUCUGCGUCGUCCUUAUAAUCCUUGGAAUCCCUGCCCAGUGAGAACAGCACAACACAAGCCUUGUAAUUGUUCAUGCAGGGCUGUUGCUUUUCAGCGGAUCAAAAGGGCUUUUUCAACAGCAAGAGCGAACGAACUGAUUCUUUGGGCUCCUUGCGUAUCUGAUGCAAUUUUUUACCUGCCUCCAGCUGACGAGGUGUUACAUGCAAUUGGACUGUUCUCCAAUAAAGAAUGUCAUAAAUGCUUUGAAAACUUUAUUUAGCAAGAAGAGCCCGUACUAUCUGUUCCAAACCCGUUGGUCAAAAUGGUAAUAACUUGUGUGUUUGCUUCAAGUUACUAUGAGAAUUUAGAGAUUUCGUUUUUUUUUAUUCCUUU
Populus euphratica (Euphrates poplar) is the source of this 1590-nucleotide RNA transcript. It is a transcript of the gene named Survival protein SurE-like phosphatase/nucleotidase, with no coding region annotated. The record is from RefSeq and is a predicted model, not a curated record. The transcript has 10 exons. Lineage: Eukaryota; Viridiplantae; Streptophyta; Magnoliopsida; Malpighiales; Salicaceae.